AGAGUUUGAUCAUGGCUCAGGAUGAACGCUGGCGGCGUGCCUAAUACAUGCAAGUCGAACGAGAACCCUCUGGAUUCGUCUGGGGGGGGAGAGUGGCGAACGGGUGAGUAACACGUAGGUGACCUGCCCCGAAGACAGGGAUAACCGCCGGAAACGGUGGCUAAUACCCGAUGUGCUCGGCGAUUCAGUUCGUCGAGUAAAGCUCCGGCGCUUCGGGAGGGGCCUGCGGCCUAUCAGCUAGUUGGUAGGGUAACGGCCUACCAAGGCGAAGACGGGUAGGGGGCGUGAGAGCGCGGUCCCCCACACUGGCACUGAGAUACGGGCCAGACUCCUACGGGAGGCAGC
RNAcentral lists this ribosomal RNA (345 nucleotides) under uncultured bacterium. RNAcentral describes it as "bacterial SSU rRNA". It matches the Rfam family "Bacterial small subunit ribosomal RNA", at positions 8 to 352 of the family's 1533-position model. The record is from RNAcentral.